This is a small nuclear RNA of Talpa occidentalis (Iberian mole), 188 nucleotides long. RefSeq annotates it as U2 spliceosomal RNA. The record is from RefSeq and is a predicted model, not a curated record. The transcript has a single exon. NCBI's taxonomy places the organism in Eukaryota, Metazoa, Chordata, Mammalia, Eulipotyphla, Talpidae.
AUCACUUCUCGGCCUUUUGGCUAAGAUCAAGUGUAGUAACAUAGGAAGAACAGUAAAAUAAUUUAUAUUCCAAAGCUGAAUGUAAUUGAUAUCAGAGCUGAUUCUUUACAAAAAGCUGUCUGGCUUCCUAAAAAAUUCAUAUUUUGAAAACCUGUCAGUCUAAUUGUUUCUGGAGAAGGUGAACUUUA